RNAcentral lists this ribosomal RNA (404 nucleotides) under uncultured Eubacteriales bacterium. Its description in RNAcentral is "bacterial SSU rRNA". It matches the Rfam family "Bacterial small subunit ribosomal RNA", at positions 356 to 774 of the family's 1533-position model. The record is from RNAcentral. Lineage: Bacteria; Bacillati; Bacillota; Clostridia; Eubacteriales.
GGGGAAUAUUGGGCAAUGGGCGAAAGCCUGACCCAGCAACGCCGCGUGAAGGAAGAAGGCCCUCGGGUUGUAAACUUCUUUUAUUCGGGACGAAACAAAUGACGGUACCGAAUGAAUAAGCCACGGCUAACUACGUGCCAGCAGCCGCGGUAAUACGUAGGGGGCAAGCGUUAUCCGGAUUUACUGGGUGUAAAGGGAGCGUAGGUGGUUCGGCAAGUCAGAUGUGAAAGCCCGGGGCUCAACCCCGGGACUGCAUUUGAAACUGUCGGGCUAGAGUGCAGGAGAGGUAAGUGGAAUUCCUAGUGUAGCGGUGAAAUGCGUAGAUAUUAGGAGGAACACCAGUGGCGAAGGCGGCUUACUGGACUGUAACUGACACUGAGGCUCGAAAGCGUGGGGAGCAAACA